UAGGCCUUAAGUUAAACAAACUAAUAACCUUCAAAGCUAUAAAUAAAGGACGUCCUUUAGGCCUUG
This 66-nucleotide transfer RNA is filed under the name Ateuchotermes sp. CAM021. RNAcentral's name for it is "tRNA-Trp". The record is from RNAcentral. Lineage: Eukaryota; Metazoa; Arthropoda; Insecta; Blattodea; Termitidae.